UCCAACUUGAAGUCUACUCUGAUGGGAUC
This 29-nucleotide non-coding RNA is filed under the name Homo sapiens (human). The record is from RNAcentral. Lineage: Eukaryota; Metazoa; Chordata; Mammalia; Primates; Hominidae.